UGCCACUAUUCAUCAUGCAGCAACAACAAAGCCUUUGUCAGUGGCGAAAGCAGGACAAAAAUUUAAGUGGGACCAAACAAAAUCGCAAAGCAACUAGACAAGACUGUGAAACUGAUCUCUGGUGGACGUGGAUGCACUAAACAUGGAAAUGGCUCACUAUGAGUGGCAUUUUACCAUGAAAUAGUGAAAAGGAUAAUGAGAAAGAAAGCACUCAUGUCGAAGUGUUUGAGCAGACUAGUUGUGGAGAAAGCACUUACAAAUCAAAAUGGUGCCCUGCAAAAGCUCAUGGAGGCAGAUAAGGAGAAAAACAAUGCUUUAGUGAACGCACACCCUCGGGAGCAGUAAAACGAAGCAUGAACAAGCUCCUCAUCACUGUCACGACCAAUGGUUCCAGAUUCGACGUCUACUCUAAAUAUUGGGACUACAAAAGGAAUGCUUUUCUGGAGGCUGACUUGCAAUGUUCUAAUAAAGUUCAAAACAUGGAAUCAAAGG
Long non-coding RNA from Zea mays, 492 nucleotides. RefSeq lists it as uncharacterized. The transcript is spliced from 4 exons. The record is from RefSeq and is a predicted model, not a curated record. NCBI's taxonomy places the organism in Eukaryota, Viridiplantae, Streptophyta, Magnoliopsida, Poales, Poaceae.